Molecule: long non-coding RNA, 348 nt
Filed under: Phaseolus vulgaris (common bean)
Lineage: Eukaryota; Viridiplantae; Streptophyta; Magnoliopsida; Fabales; Fabaceae
Description: long non-coding RNA (PVUL_LNC000966)
Source: RNAcentral
GGGGACUAUGAAAGCUGUUUGGCGUACACGGAGGAGCUGAAGGAGCGGUGUGUGGAGCAGUUCAAACAGGGGGCGGUGUGUAUGGAACAGCUGGCAGCGGUGGAUGGGUUGUGUGAGUUGGUUAGGAAGGCAGUUGGGGCUGGGGAACCUGUUCGGAGAUACCAUGUGAACCUGUCUGUUUUCACUUCCAUUCCUGAUGCGUGGGGCAUUGAACAGGUGUUUCCGAUCAUCCCCAUUCAUCGGUUGGACGAGAAGCCUUCCGUUAGGGGUAUUCUCUCGGAUUUGACUUGCGACAGCGAUGGCAAGAUUGACAAAUUCAUCAACGGGGAGUCCAGCCUGCCGCUGCAU